GAUGAACGCUGGCGGCGUGCUUAACACAUGCAAGUCGAACGAAGCACUUUAUUUGAUUUCCUUCGGGACUGAUUAUUUUGUGACUGAGUGGCGGACGGGUGAGUAACGCGUGGGUAACCUGCCUUGUACAGGGGGAUAACAGUUGGAAACGGCUGCUAAUACCGCAUAAGCGCACAGCAUCGCAUGAUGCAGUGUGAAAAACUCCGGCGGUAUAAGAUGGACCCGCGUUGGAUUAGCUAGUUGGUGAGGUAACGGCCCACCAAGGCGACGAUCCAUAGCCGACCUGAGAGGGUGACCGGCCACAUUGGGACUGAGACACGGCCCAGACUCCUACGGGAGGCAGCAGUGGGGAAUAUUGCACAAUGGGCGAAAGCCUGAUGCAGCGACGCCGCGUGAGCGAAGAAGUAUUUCGGUAUGUAAAGCUCUAUCAGCAGGGAAGAUAAUGACGGUACCUGACGAAGAAGCACCGGCUAACUACGUG
RNAcentral lists this ribosomal RNA (481 nucleotides) under uncultured bacterium. Its description in RNAcentral is "partial 16S ribosomal RNA". It matches the Rfam family "Bacterial small subunit ribosomal RNA", at positions 28 to 507 of the family's 1533-position model. The record is from RNAcentral.